This 253-nucleotide ribosomal RNA is filed under the name uncultured bacterium. Its description in RNAcentral is "partial 16S ribosomal RNA". It matches the Rfam family "Bacterial small subunit ribosomal RNA", at positions 524 to 776 of the family's 1533-position model. The record is from RNAcentral.
UACAGAGGGGGCAAGCGUUAUUCGGAAUUAUUGGGCGUAAAGGGCGCGUAGGCGGCUUCGCAAGUGGAAGGUGAAAUCCCUCGGCUUAACCGAGGAACUGCCCUCCAAACUGCGUUGCUUGAGGCCGGGAGAGGUGAGUGGAAUUCCCAGUGUAACGGUGAAAUGCGUAGAUAUUGGGAGGAACACCAGUGGCGAAGGCGGCUCACUGGACCGGUUCUGACGCUGAGGCGCGAAAGCGUGGGGAGCAAACGGG